Molecule: ribosomal RNA, 484 nt
Filed under: uncultured bacterium
Lineage: Bacteria
Description: partial 16S ribosomal RNA
Rfam family: Bacterial small subunit ribosomal RNA
Source: RNAcentral
AUUGAACGCUGGCGGAAUGCUUUACACAUGCAAGUCGAGCGGCAGCACGGGGGCAACCCUGGUGGCGAGCGGCGAACGGGUGAGUAAUACAUCGGAACAUGCCCAGUCGUGGGGGAUAACACUUCGAAAGAAGUGCUAAUACCACAUACGUCCUGAGGGGGAAAGCGGGGGAUCGCAAGACCUCGCGCGAUUGGAGUGGCCGAUGUCAGAUUAGCUAGUUGGUGGGGUAAAGGCCUACCAAGGCAACGAUCUGUAGCUGGUCUGAGAGGAUGAUCAGCCACACUGGGACUGAGACACGGCCCAGACUCCUACGGGAGGCAGCAGUGGGGAAUUUUGGACAAUGGGGGCAACCCUGAUCCAGCCAUUCCGCGUGAGUGAAGAAGGCCUUCGGGUUGUAAAGCUCUUUCGGCAGGAACGAAACGGUGAGCUCUAACAUAGCUUGCUAAUGACGGUACCUGAAGAAGAAGCACCGGCUAACUACGUG